UACGGAGGGGGCUAGCGUUGUUCGGAAUUACUGGGCGUAAAGCGCGCGUAGGCGGACCUGCAAGUCGGGGGUGAAAGCCCGAGGCUCAACCUCGGAACUGCCUUCGAUACUGCGGGUCUCGAGUCCGGGAGAGGUGAGUGGAAUUCCUAGUGUAGAGGUGAAAUUCGUAGAUAUUAGGAAGAACACCAGUGGCGAAGGCGGCUCACUGGCCCGGUACUGACGCUGAGGGCGCGAAAGCCAGGGGAGCAA
RNAcentral lists this ribosomal RNA (249 nucleotides) under uncultured bacterium. Its description in RNAcentral is "partial 16S ribosomal RNA". It matches the Rfam family "Bacterial small subunit ribosomal RNA", at positions 524 to 771 of the family's 1533-position model. The record is from RNAcentral.